CGGCAGAUUGAGCGCCCCUCUGUCGCCCGGUGAACUGAGUCCACCGAAAGCCAAAGGCAGCGGCGGGAACCAACCAACGCUCGAGGGGCCAUUGCCGCCGUUUGACGCCAUCGGACGGACGGAACAGCAGCUGGAACCGGUGAGGACUGACUGCCGACUUCCCUUCGUGCAGCUGGAACCGGUGAGAAACGAUCCUACUAUGGG
Molecule: long non-coding RNA, 204 nt
Filed under: Salvia miltiorrhiza (redroot sage)
Lineage: Eukaryota; Viridiplantae; Streptophyta; Magnoliopsida; Lamiales; Lamiaceae
Description: long non-coding RNA (SMIL_LNC000840)
Source: RNAcentral